RNAcentral lists this long non-coding RNA (5315 nucleotides) under Ananas comosus (pineapple). Its description in RNAcentral is "long non-coding RNA (ACOM_LNC037881)". Lineage: Eukaryota; Viridiplantae; Streptophyta; Magnoliopsida; Poales; Bromeliaceae. The record is from RNAcentral.
GUCCAGCUCUUCCCUUGGGUGGCCGUACCCAUUGGGAACUAUAUUUAUAUAGUUCUCACCCCCGUAUUGUUUUUGGGGGUACAGGUUUGCACGUGAGCGGCGCGGUGGCGCGAAGACAGGGCGUAGUUCCGUAGAUAGCGCCCUACCACCGAGACGAGAGAUAGCAGUAUCCUGAAGUGGUCUAGCUCAGAGUAUAAGAAUGAAAGGAACAAACUUGUAGCAAAUUUGUAUAAGUUGUAAUAACUUAAAAGGUAUUUGUAAUAUUGUAAAUGUAAAAUCGGGAAGAUGAAUGUGUGUAAUAGCAUAGUUAGCAUUUUAUGUUUUUGAUACUUAUGCAAUAUGUGAUUGAAUACAAAUCCUGGUUGGAACCUCUUGUAUUGCAUUGUAUAAAUUGUGACGCCUAGAACGUACAGGGAAGGCUAUGUCCGUUCGGCGGUCUGUCGCGUGUCCAAAUCUAACCAAAUUGGCGGAGCUCGGGCGUGACAACCGGUCCCCGAGAGCAACUCCCUAAUAUCACGCGUACAGGAACCGGUCCCCUCCCAGAGGGACCGGUCCCCGAGAGGGGUUUCCGAAAACAUGCUUACGAGAACCGGUCCCCUCCCAGAAGGACCGGUCCCAGAGAGCAUGAAACCUGCACUUGUGCAGAUUUCACAUGAUUGCUCUCGUGGGUCCGUUCUAAUGCACUUUUUGCAUUCUAAUCACCUUCGGACUUUCCGAAGCCUACACAUUCGAUAAUUAGUCGAUUCUAAAUGAAGUUUAAUCCUCGAAUUUCGAGAAUUCACUCCUUUACAGUAGUGCUCUUGGGGACUGGUCCCUGACGGGAGAGACCGGUCCCCGUACGCGUGAAGGCUGGCAGAGAGCCUUCCUCCCGCAUGGGCUACUCUCGGGGACCGGUCCUCCCGUAGAGAGAGAUCGGUCCCUCCGCGCGAAAUUGCCCAAGUAGACUGGGUUGAGAGGAGCAAAAGUGGAAGGGCUAAACUGAAAAUGUCACAUUGGUUAGGGGUAUGGAGAGGAUUAAACACCCUCUCCCUCUCUCAUUUCUCCUUCCCCCCUCACAUUCCCUCUCUCUCUCUCUAGAAAGAAAAGAAGGAGAAGAAAGAAAACAGAAGAAGAAGAAGGUGGAGAGCUUGGAGAAAAUCAUCUCCACCACCUUCUUCUCUCACUCUUCAUCCCUUUGGAGUAGCUCAAGAGGUAAGCUACUAAACCCUAACAUGUAUGUCACGCCCUGGGACCGGCGGAGGCCCUCCCGGUAGCGCGCCCAGACCCGCCAUAUGUCUGCACAUAUAAGGCGUCUACAAUAAAAGCGAAAGUAAAGCAAGAAACAUAGCCGAAAGGAAAGAGCAACGACUAAUGAUAUCAGAGCAGUAUGAUUCUACUUUCUAUAACAAAAGAAAAAGGAUACAACUAAACCAUAAAAAUAAACCAUAAAGUAGUACAAUAAAGGUCUCAAAGGUACAAAAAUGGGUGGUCUCUAGUACAAUGGUGAAACUCUCAACCUCUCACAAAAAGAAAAACACGAGAGGUAGACCACCUAUCGAACGAUCCCUCGGCGAGCACGCUAGCCCGAGGCGAUACCCUUUCCGCGAUCCCUGGCCUCCCCCUGCGCGGAAGGCUCUGAAAAACAUCGAGAAAAAGAGGGCGUGAGAACUAUAAUUUAUAGUUCCCAGUGGGCAAUUACUGACCGCAGCUCUAUGCACCACUAGGCUCCAAAAGAAAAGGGUAAGUCCAAAAGCAAGUAAUAAUAAUAACAAGAAUAUUAAUUGCGAUAUGAUAGCAUAAUUGAAAUGCUAACUACUAUGUCUCAAGUAAGCAAGAUGUACGUUUACUCUAUCAUGAGAAAGUAUGUCCAAAGGCAACGGGUAAAUGUCACGAUCCAAUAUGUCAUUACAUAACGAUUAAGCUCUAGCAAGUAACCGAGUAUACUAUGGUGCGAUAAAUCAAUCAAGCAAGUAUACUACAAGUACCAAUGCUAGGUCAUAAGCAUGUAAAUGUAAUCCAACUACUAAGCCUAUCUAGUAGUGAUUAUCCAAUCCCGGUGUAACAUACUAGAUUUUGGUAUAAAAAUAAAAAUAAAUAAAAAUAGUGUGAGAAACUAUUUUUAUUGGAUUUAUAGAAGUAAAACAUAAGUCAGAAGUGACUUGUGCUGAAAUCGGAAUGAAAACAGAAGAUCUAGAAUUUUCUGUUGAAAACGGGACAGAUAAAUUAGCAGAAAAUGCACAGUCUCAGAAAAUUAUGAAAAUUGGAGGAUAAGUCAGAAAUAUUUUUAUGAGGCUAAAUUUAAAGUUUCAUAUUUUUCUGACACCUGUAGAGUGAGAAAUAAAAUUCGAGAGUUGGUCAGUAUGAGCCGCUUCUGGAAUCACGAUACUGUGAAGCCGCUUUGGAGUGGAAAAGUCAGUUGGUACUCUCAAUUGCUCGCAGAGCUGAAUUGAGGCGUAGUUUGAAUUUCGCAGACAAAAUUCUUUUUAAGGGGUGGAGACUGUAAUAUACUAGAUUUUGGUAGAAAAAAUAAAAAUAAAUAAAAAUAGUGUGGGAUACUAUUUUUAUUGGAUUUAGAGAAGUAAAACAUAAGUCAGAAUUGAUUUGUGCUGAAAUCGGAAUGAAAACAGAAGAUUUAGAAUUUUCUGUUGGAAACGAGACAGAUAAAUUAGCAAAAAAUGCACAGUCUCAGAAAAUUAUGAAAAUUGGAGAAUAAGUCAGAAAUAUUUUUAUGAGGCUAUAUUUAAAGUUUCAUAUUUUUCCGACACCCGAAAGUCGAGAAAUAAAAUCUGAAAGCUAUCUGAUAAAGAUUAUAGUUCGGUACAGUUUUCGGUGACCAAAUGGGGUCGAAACUGAAAACUUAAAAUAUAUUCUUACUCAGUACGUUAAACUGAGCUUGCCUGUCAAAUUUGAGCUAAAACGGACAUUCAGAAGGGCUCAAACUGUUCCGAACUGCUAAAAUUGCCUGAAGUGAAUAGUGCCUUGGGGUGCAUUAUAAAGAAGCUGAUGCUUCUUCUUCCUCUCCUUCAGCCCGAGCACACACACACGCACGCAUGGUGCUAGUGAGAGAAACCUUCAUUCCUCUCUCUAGAUUUCUCUCUCAUCUCUCCAUAUCUCUCGCUCAAAUUCGCGGCGUUGGUGGAGAAGAUGCUCGCGAACGCGUUGGGAGUGACGGAUCGAGCUUUCGUGCGCCCGUUACAGCGGCGUGUUUUCGUUGCGGCGUUCACGUUGUGGUAAGCUUUUGGGAUUUGGCUUAAUCCUUAGCUUUAAGUGUUCUAAUAGUCUCUAAUGAGCAUUAUUAGCAUGUUGCUCCAUUUAAUUUGGAUUAUUUGGAGGUUCAAUGCAUCUAGGGCUCAAAAAUGGGGUUUUGUAAAUAUGAGGGUUUGAUCUCAUUUGACCCUCUAUAAACCUAAUUGCUAGGUAAACGAACGCGUUGGCGAAGUCGGUUCGCUGAUUCGUCGAGCCGUUGCGAAGUUAUUAAAGAAACGGACGUUUAGGCUUCGUUUUCGCCUGGAGGGCCGAGGCGACAUCGUAAACCCAUGAAAACGGAUUUGAAGCAUCGUGGCACAUAACCGAAGAACUUUAAUUUCCGGAUCGUGAAUUGGAGGCCGUUCGGGUGGUUGCGCGAGAGAUCGGGCCAAACCGGGUGCCGGAUGCCGCGGGAGGCCGAUUGCAAGUGUCGACAAGCAAUCGGAAUGCGAAAUGAGGUGGGUUGUGCUUACCGAAGCGACUAGGUCGCCUUUAUGUCUAAGAGAAAUGAGAUUUCAUAUUGAUGCAUGUUGACAUAUAAUGUGAAAUGCUAGAGGAAUGCAUUUGACAUAAUGUAAGAAUGUGAAAAGAAUGCAUGUUAACAUAUUAUAGAAAUGCUAGAUAAAUGCAUGUGAUUAAUGCUUUGAAUGCAUAAGAUAAAGGGCAUAUGAAUGUUAACAUUAUAAGAACAUGAUAAGAGGAAUGCAUGAUGACUUAGUGUAAAUAGUGCUAGAUGAAUGCAUUGAGUAAUGCUAAAGUUUACAUGAUAAGCAUGCAUGUGGAUAAUGCUAAGUAAUGGUAUGAUAAGCAUGAUGUAGAAAUAAUAAAUGCAAGCAUGUGGCUAAUACUAAGAUAUACUUGAUGAUCAUGUUGUAGAGAUACUAAUGUUAAGAAAUGAAAAUGUGCAUAUGGACAAUCUAUAUACAUUAGAUCGAGUGGCAUUAAACCUAGAGUCAUGGACAUAGGUUGAACAUGGAGGAUAUGAACCUAGUGUCAAAGAACAUAGGUUGAACAAGUAUAGUGUGAACCUAGUGUCAUGAACCUAGCAAACACUUGUGGCAUUUGAGCAUAUAUAUUUGUAUCAUUCAUACAUAAUAGGACUAAGUACAUGUGAAUCUUGGUUGCUUUCAAUGACAUGUUUCUAACGUAGUUGAACAUAGAGAAAGGUAGAACCAUAAUGGACAUGUAUGUUAGGACCCUAUUAUUGUGUGAAUGUGAGAGUUGGACUUGGACAUAGUAAACAAAGGUGACAUUGACAAUAGAGACAUUGAUUGGCAUAGAGAACAUAGUUGUUAAACAUAGUUUAACCAAGAGUGGCAUUGGACCAAGAUGACAUAGGGAGUGGCAUGAUUAAAUAGGUAGAAAACCUAUUAUGACAAUGGCAUUGUGACAAGUGGCUAUGAAUCCUCAAGUUGAGGAUUGGAUCGAUACUCACGAUAAGUCUUGGCUUGAGGGAGGUAGCUCCCCCUCGGGCGGUGCGCUCCGGAGUUGGUCACCACUGGGCGUGGUAAAGUCCCCCCAGAAGACGGUCCCUAGGGAGGUUCGAGUCCCCCGCUAUUAAGGGAUUUUGGGUUGUGAGUUAUUGGGGUUAACAUGGUUAACCGGUAAGAUUGGGUCAAAGCCAAGUGAAUGUACAGCAUUAUGUGUUACGGGUUUGGUAUCCCAGUUGAGAGGAUUUAGGGCUGAGGUGUAUGUGAGACGUCCAUCACCUCGAGCCUAGUUUUGGUGCGGUAUUCCGCAGUUGAUUGACUCGAGACCGAGUCGGGUGGUUAGCUUGGCUAGGGUAGAGGAAAACCUUAGGAGCAAAUAACCAAUGAUGUAAAGUGAUAAGAUGUAUAAAUUAUGAAAAAGCUAUGGAUAGCAUGAUACAAAGUAAAAUCAUUUAUUCUACUUGUAUAGUUGCAUGAUUCGCAUAUAGCAUGGCAUUAUUGUAUUCGUGAGGCAAAGCAUGGUUUUAUUAGUUGCAUAAUAAAGAUAUAUAUCUAUCUGUUUAUUGAAUUAACUUGCAGUUGCCUACCUUGGACCUAUUGGUCGAGCUUUUCUCUUGGGUGGCCGUACCCACUGGGAACCAUGGAGUUGGUUCUCACCCC